Molecule: long non-coding RNA, 714 nt
Organism: Bubalus bubalis (water buffalo)
Lineage: Eukaryota; Metazoa; Chordata; Mammalia; Artiodactyla; Bovidae
Exons: 2
Source: RefSeq, a predicted model, not a curated record
GAAGGACAGGGGGAUGGGGAUUGACUUUAUUGAGCGUGCAAGGCACUGAGCUAAACAAAAGGCAGAGGUGACAGGAAGGGGCUGAGAAGAUGUCAAGGACACAGCGCUGAGGCAUGGGAGGACCAGGCGCAAAGGUCUGUGCAGAAACGUCACUUCCUCAGAGACAACUUCUUAAACGCCCUAUGCAAAACAUCCCCCUGGCACCUCCACUGCUGUCGCAUCAGUCUCUAACCUAUCCCCUUAUAUUGCUUAAUUCUUCAUCCCAGUUAUCACCCCGACAAGAUGUGUUUACUGUCUCUGCUACUAGAAUGCCAUCUUGUUCACUGCUAUACCCUCUGUCCUAGCCCGUGCCCUAUGCGGCUCAAAAAAUGCCUAAUUAGUUUUAAGAUUUUGUCACGUCAGAAUAAAGAAAAGAUUUUUGUAACGCCUAGGCAUCUUUUUCUUGCACGUUUUACCUUAUCACCGUAUUAAAGAUAAUAAAGUACACCUACAUCCCAUAACUUUAUAUAGAAAAAUGGUAGCUAACAUUUAUUGAGCAUUUUCUGUGUGAGGACUUUUCUAAAUGCUUUACAAAUACUUAUUCAUUUAAUUCUCACAACCCCAUGAGGUAGAUAUUAUUAUUAUCCCAUUUGACAGAAGAGUAAGCCAAGGCUAGAAUUACUUGACUUGUCCACUGGAAAAUAAGGUUGUAAGUGGCAGUGCUCAGUCAUAUCC